This 657-nucleotide ribosomal RNA is filed under the name Triticum aestivum (bread wheat). Its description in RNAcentral is "partial small subunit ribosomal RNA". The record is from RNAcentral. Lineage: Eukaryota; Viridiplantae; Streptophyta; Magnoliopsida; Poales; Poaceae.
AUGCAGCACGAGGUGCGCUGGGUGGCCAUCUCGACAAACUAUCACGACGCUCUUGGUGUGAAUAUGACCAAGGAAGAAGCGCGGAGGACGGACAUUACCUUGGAGAGGCACGAGUACUUGGCGGUGUGUCCAAAUUGGUGUUAUGGAAAAGACGAGUCCUGGGCAGCAUUGGUGGAUUUGUGGUGUGAUGAGGAUGGAGCUUGGGCGGCUACGAGCAUCAAAAACAAGGCUAACCGAGGGAGGGAGGGAGUACAUGCUCAGGGAAACCGAAAUCACUUUCUUCACAAGACACUUGAGGAGGAGAAACUGAAGCAGCCGCUCUCACACAUGGAGGCGUGGGAGAUCGCCCAUACACGGAGGAAGCCCAAGCCUGGCGAGGCCAAGUACUACGGCAAGACCGCGGAGUAUAAGAAGGCCUACUCCGAGGGGUAUCUGAGUUUACAUCCUGGCACACCUGACCCCAUUGCGGCGGAUCUGGAUGAGAGGGUGGUGGUGGGCAUGGGGCCCAAGAAGCAUGGUCGGCAGCCGAUUCUGGAUGUUGUGAUCACUCCUUCUAUCUCCUACACACAGCUCCGAGCUACCAACCCGAGCUUGUGCCUGCGCACGAGCACGCCCAUGACCAGUGCGCAGUCACAGUCACUACUAGGAAAAGGCUAA